GGUAACAAUAGGUUGUUAGUGGAAUAAAUGAUUACAAAUUCAAAGGGUCAUAAUCUUUGGAAUCCAUUGGCCGACGGAUCAUCUUUUUGGUAGGAUAAAUAGGUUGAGAAAAGAGAGAUCAAAGCCAGACUGUGAGAGUCGUAAGUGGAGAGCUAGACUAUAAGAGUCGUAAGUCAAGAGCCAAACUAUGAGAGUCGUAAGCCAAGAUAAGCUUGGUGCUACCUC
This 225-nucleotide long non-coding RNA is filed under the name Physcomitrium patens. Its description in RNAcentral is "long non-coding RNA (PPAT_LNC003173)". The record is from RNAcentral. Lineage: Eukaryota; Viridiplantae; Streptophyta; Bryopsida; Funariales; Funariaceae.